RNAcentral lists this long non-coding RNA (692 nucleotides) under Macaca fascicularis (crab-eating macaque). RNAcentral describes it as "lncRNA (ENSMFAG00000047607.1)". Lineage: Eukaryota; Metazoa; Chordata; Mammalia; Primates; Cercopithecidae. The record is from RNAcentral.
GUCCGUCGCGGGAGCUGAGCCCACGAGGCCCUGGAGCGCGGUGGCUGGGCCCGUAGCGCCACCUGGCGGCGGAUCAGGACCCCGCGCCCUUGCGUCCCUGGAAGUGGGAGAAGGGGCAGGGGGCUCCACCCUGCACCACCACCCCAGCGCGCUCCCGAGGCCGUUCCCCAAGGAUGCGCGGGCCCCAGGGAGAGCGACGCUGCCCGCGCGGCGCUUUCCUGGCCGCCUGGAGUCCGGGAACGGCGAAUCCCGCUCGCAGCGGACCGAGGCGAGGCGCAGCGGGACGGGAUCGGUGGGAACGGAAACAGCGGUCACCCGGAAGCCCAGAACCAGCGAGUACGCGGUGCAGUGUUCGCUUCCCAAACGUUGUGGGACAAACGCCUUUCAACUGUUUCUGGACGCCCGUGGGCCGGCGUUACCCUGUUGAGGUCAUUUGUCCUGCCUCAGCCUCUCCAAAUGGUGGGUCUCUGCCUGGGGAGGCUCUGGAGAGGCUCUGGGAAGUGAUUCAAGACCAAGGGGAAGGAGAAAGGUCUGCUCUGGGCUCCUCAGCCCUGAAAGGAAGCCGCAGUGCCCUUACUGCAGUAGAGGUGAUAAGCUCCAGAGAUGUUUCAUCCCAAAGACUUCCUAAGACUUCCUGGUCCACUGGGAACCAGAGGAGUGUUAGUAAACCAGCCUACAUCCUUUUAUUUUAG